AACGAACGCUGGCGGCAUGCCUAACGCAUGCAAGUCGAACGAGACCUUCGGGUCUAGUGGCGCACGGGUGCGUAACGCGUGGGAACCUGCCCUUAGGUUCGGAAUAACUCCCCGAAAGGGGUGCUAAUACCGGAUAAUGUCUUCGGACCAAAGAUUUAUCGCCGUUGGAUGGGCCCGCGUUGGAUUAGCUAGUUGGUAGGGUAAAAGCCUACCAAGGCGACGAUCCAUAGCUGGUCUGAGAGGAUGAUCCGCCACACUGGGACUGAGACACGGCCCAGACUCCUACGGAAGGCAGCAGUGGGGAAUAUUGGACAAUGGGCGAAGGCCUGAUCCAGCAGUGCCGCGUGAGUGAUGAAGGCCUUAGGGUUGUAAAGCUCUUUUACCCGGGAUGAUAAUGACAGUACCGGGAGAAUAAGCUCCGGCUAACUCCGUG
RNAcentral lists this ribosomal RNA (433 nucleotides) under uncultured bacterium. RNAcentral describes it as "partial 16S ribosomal RNA". It matches the Rfam family "Bacterial small subunit ribosomal RNA", at positions 29 to 507 of the family's 1533-position model. The record is from RNAcentral.